GUUUUAAUAGUUUAACAAAAACAUUGGUCUUGUAAAUCAAAAAUAAAAUUAUAUUUUUUAAAACU
RNAcentral lists this transfer RNA (65 nucleotides) under Nemorilla maculosa. RNAcentral's name for it is "tRNA-Thr". It matches the Rfam family "tRNA". Rfam says of the family: Transfer RNA (tRNA) molecules are approximately 80 nucleotides in length. Their secondary structure includes four short double-helical elements and three loops (D, anti-codon, and T loops). The record is from RNAcentral. Lineage: Eukaryota; Metazoa; Arthropoda; Insecta; Diptera; Tachinidae.